GGUCAAGGUACAUGAAAACUUAGAAAAAGUCCACCGGAUUGGACGCCAGAGAAACUCUUAAUGCCAGGAUUCUCAACGGCACUGUUGACAUUUGGGGUGGAUGACUCUGCGUUGUGCGGCCCAUCCUGGGCCUUAGAGGGUGUUUAGAAAAUCCUGACCUUUACUCUCUAGAUGCUGGUAGCACCCCACCCCCCGCCGUGACAACGAAAAUUGUUUCCAACAUUGCCUGCUGUCCCCUGGAGGGCAAAAUCACACCCGGUUGAGAACUCCUGCCUUGGCAGUGUUUUGGCAGGUGCAGAAGACCUGAUGACUCCAGGGACCCGAAGGGAGUGUUGAGACCCAAGAUGGAAAGGGCCUGGGACCCUGAAUGACUUGCCAACCCUCCAUGAUUGUGACAUGAACAAGAAAUAAACUUCGACGGUGUUAAGCUACUGAGAUUUUAGGUUGUUACCGCAGCAGAGUGUACCCUGACGUCAACCGUGGCCAACUUAAGCAAAAGCUUUGUCUGGAGCCCGGAAGCAGCUACCCAGGUCCUUCUCCUGGUCUCCUUGUGUCCUCGUGCUGACGGGGACCCUGGGUUUGCUGUCUUCUUAGUGUCACCUUACUGGACUUGGUGCUGCUCUGGCUGUCCUGGCCAGUUGUGGGCACUUCUUUUGUAUCAUGCAUCAUGUUCUGGCAACAGGUCUGGCGUCUUUCUGGGAACUAAGUCACCUUACUCCGUGCCUGGUUUGGGUUUGGCUUCUCCGGUCUCAAACAACAGCUUGGAUUCCUACCUCACGCCAUACACCAAAAUAAAU
This is a long non-coding RNA of Ailuropoda melanoleuca (giant panda), 797 nucleotides long. RefSeq lists it as uncharacterized. The transcript has 3 exons. The record is from RefSeq and is a predicted model, not a curated record. Lineage: Eukaryota; Metazoa; Chordata; Mammalia; Carnivora; Ursidae.